AGAAGCUUGAUGUGGUUUUGUAAGCAUUUAUAUAUAUAUAUAUAUAUAUAUAUAUAUAUAUAUUGCAUCUGCCUUGAGAUAAGAAGAACGUGUGCUGCCAGUCGGAAAUUUAGAGAAAAAGAAAGAGAAGAAAAAGGGAAAAAGAAGAAAGAAAGGAAAAAGUAAUGAUUAGUGGGGCCCACGAAAUUGUUUUUGUGGCUAUAAAUUCUUUGAACCUAGUCCUUCACGUGGGUUUUAUUGGCUGACAUUUUGUUUGCGUGGUGAGCGUUUUUGUUGGGUGUCAGUGGAAUUGUCUUUAUAAAGAAACUGUUUUGCAACUUUGGUAAUGAUACAAGGAGAAAGAAAAAUAGAGGAAAACAAAAUGAGCCGAGAGAGACACAGAGAGACGAGAGUUUGCAGAGAGAAGCCGCGAGGUUGCAGAGGAGGCCGGGAGCUUGAGACUUUGAUGAUCUAGUGAGGAAAAUUCCUUUUCCAAGGAAUCAAAGGAAGGUACAGGAGUUAAUAUAUCAAACAUCACUAUGACUUUCCAUGCUGAAGUAUAUGGACUCUUCUAAAGUAUGGAAAUGCAAGAGCUUCACCUCAAGUCACUCCUAAUAUUCAACCAAUAGAAAAUUUAGAAGGAUCAAAAUGUGAAUUAUUACAUUGGAGUGAACCAAAUGUAGUUGUUAUUGAAGUUAUCGAUUCUACGAACAAAAAAUCAUGUGUGGAUGGUAUUCCUAUUAGAACCGAAUGUUGGAAAAUCUGGGUCAAGGUUGUAUUUGAUACUGAUGUGACCUUAUAUAGGGCGUGCAAAUAUUACUUGUACCUUCUACAAGCUAAGGGAGAAUAGUUUCAUGGCCCGCCAAGUUGGUUAGAAGAACUUAGUUUCAAAGGUAAUGGUUUUAUAUUAAAUAUAAAUGUGUUGAUUUAUACAUUUAUAAAUGCAUAUAAUUAUAUUUUUUAUGUAUAAGAGUUUGAACCUUUGUCCCCAUUUUCAUCUUCCUCUCUUUCGCCUUUUCCUUUUCGCCUACUUCUUCAAGGCAUUAAUGUGACAAUUUAAUGUAAUAACUUGUCUUCUUUCUUCCAUUUUUUUUUUUUUUUUUUUUUUGGCAGAGUGUGAUUGUAGGAUCAAUUUUUGCCAUAUAUGUUAUGUUCUUAUAUAUGGUAAUGUAACAUAAUGUGAGGAUUCUUUUUUCACAUUGGAGACAUGUAUAAUUUGUGAUAUUGAACCA
This is a long non-coding RNA of Cornus florida, 1211 nucleotides long. RefSeq lists it as uncharacterized. The record is from RefSeq and is a predicted model, not a curated record. The transcript has 3 exons. Lineage: Eukaryota; Viridiplantae; Streptophyta; Magnoliopsida; Cornales; Cornaceae.